RNAcentral lists this ribosomal RNA (474 nucleotides) under uncultured eubacterium WJGRT-147. RNAcentral describes it as "bacterial SSU rRNA". It matches the Rfam family "Bacterial small subunit ribosomal RNA", at positions 40 to 517 of the family's 1533-position model. The record is from RNAcentral.
CGGCGUGGAUAAGACAUGCAAGUCGAAGGGGAUUAGCUUGUACCAAUACCGAUGGAUACAGAGGUUCCGGGUGCGUAACACGUGGAUCACUGAGCGGAAAGCGUGGAAUAGCCCAUGGUAACUCGGAUUAAUGCCUCAUGUGGUCGCGCGGGACAUCCUCCCGAAGGCAAAGUAGCAAGUCGCUUUCUGAUGAGUCCGCGGCCUAUCAGCUAGUUGGUGAGGUAACGGCCCACCAAGGCGACGACGGGUAGCUGGUCUGAGAGGAUGACCAGCUCCUGGAACUGAGGCACGGUCCAGACACCUACGGGUGGCAGCAGUCGAGAAUUAUUCACCAUGGGGGAAACCCUGAUGGAGCGACGCCGCGUGGAGGAUGAAGGUCUUCGGUUGUAAACUCCUGUCAUGCGAGAGCAAGAUUUGAGCGGGUAACUCCGCUGGAUUUGGUACCAANNGACGGGUAAGGAGUGCCAGCACCCG